UUUUAUAUAGUUUCAAUAAAACAUUUUAUUUUCAUUAAAAAAAUGACUUAUCUGUAGUCUAUAAAAA
Molecule: transfer RNA, 67 nt
Filed under: Nesophrosyne sp. 302 GMB-2012
Lineage: Eukaryota; Metazoa; Arthropoda; Insecta; Hemiptera; Cicadellidae
Description: tRNA-Glu
Source: RNAcentral